Molecule: long non-coding RNA, 1315 nt
Organism: Calypte anna (Anna's hummingbird)
Lineage: Eukaryota; Metazoa; Chordata; Aves; Apodiformes; Trochilidae
Exons: 3
Source: RefSeq, a predicted model, not a curated record
GGCCCCGCCCCCCCCGGGCUCUGAGGGAACGGCGGGCGGGGAGGCGACCGGGACCGGACCCGGACCCAGAGCCGGAGCCGGGGUGUCCCGGGGGUCUUUUCCUGAGGCAGAGCUGCCUUCAGCAGACACUGUGGACUCCUCUGUUGCUGCUCAGGUUAACGUGGGAUGCAUCCACAUCCUGCAGUGCUGGGCAUCCACACGGAAUACAUGGAGAGAAGUAAAUGGAAGAAGUUUUGGCUGUUUUCCAAGCAGUAUUGUAGAAAUGGCUUCCCAACAUGAAGUAACAGUUUUCUAGAGUGCAGGUACUCCCUGUGCCAUGCCUGCAUCCCACACAGCACGGUGCAAUUACAACUGAAGUGACAAAGAAAGGCCAAACCACUUCGUUAUUGUUGACUCUGAAUGGGAUGCUGAAAUAUGCAGCAGCCAGGUGUGGAAUGCUACAGGAUUGGGUGAGAUUGUGUGACUGCCUUUGUUAGAAGGUCAAAGUUCUGAUGCCUUCUGCAGCCUUCAGGUUAACAUGGUUCAAAUGGAUUGAUACCCCCCAGAUUGAGCAGUGUGAUACCAGGCUUGUACUCCUCCUGCCAUCUUUCUGUCUAAAGAGAAGGUUGAGAGCUGGACACAGUGUAUCAACACUGCCUUCCAGAAUGCAGCACAGCAAACGAUCCACCACAUAGCAAUAGAUCAACUGCCUGGUGCCCACCCUACUUUGUGUCCCGGGAAAGUCAUCCUAGCUGCAGUGUGCAGGCACUCUGGGAGUCCUCCAUCAAUCCACAAUCUGAUGCUUCCCCGAGGUAUGCACCUACUGUACAAGCAUGCAGUGCUUCUGUUGGUCAUACAUCAAUGCAACAGCUUGCUACUUCCUGAAAAUACUGGACUGACAAGAUUGGUGCUGUAAAAUUGAACUUGUUAUGCAGUGAACACAUUUGUGAUUCACAGAACUCCAGCAGCUUGCAGAAAGAGGAAGGGAGGGGGCAGCUGCCACGCAGUAGCUCUGACUGGAUUGCUGCAAGACUAGAAAUCCAGCAUGAAAUUGAAAGAUCCUCAAGUUUUGCUCACAGCAGGAGCAGACGGCAUGCCUGAGCACCCAGCUCUGGAGCCUUACCCACUCUCCCUGUCUGCUGCAAUAAAGCACUGUGUGGUUAAGUGUGAUGACUGACACAUGUCACAUGUCUUUAUGUUUCAUGAGUCUGUGAAUCAUUCAAUAAAGCCAUAGACACAUAGGAAAAUAGGUGUGGUUUCUCGAGGCCAAAAAUCCAGCCCGUUGCCAUUAUGUCAAACAACUGAUAAUCCUGCCUUCAUUACAAUCAUUUUUGUU